UGAGGAANAUUGGUCAAUGGGCGCGAGCCUGAACCAGCCAAGUAGCGUGCAGGAUGACGGCCCUAUGGGUUGUAAACUGCUUUUGUAUGGGGAUAAAGUCAAUCACGUGUGAUUGUUUGCAGGUACCAUACGAAUAAGGACCGGCUAAUUCCGUGCCAGCAGCCGCGGUAAUACGGAAGGUCCGGGCGUUAUCCGGAUUUAUUGGGUUUAAAGGGAGCGUAGGCCGGAGAUUAAGUGUGUUGUGAAAUGUAGACGCUCAACGUCUGACUUGCAGCGCAUACUGGUUUCCUUGAGUACGCACAACGUUGGCGGAAUUCGUCGUGUAGCGGUGAAAUGCUUAGAUAUGACGAAGAACUCCGAUUGCGAAGGCAGCUGACGGGAGCGCAACUGACGCUUAAGCUCGAAGGUGCAGGUAUCGAACAGGAUUAGAUACCCUGGUAGUCCGCACAGUANCGAUGGAUGCCCGCUGUUGGUACCUGGUAUCAGCGGCUAANCGAAAGCAUUAAGCAUCCCACCUGGGGAGUACGCCGGCNACGGU
Molecule: ribosomal RNA, 538 nt
Filed under: uncultured bacterium
Lineage: Bacteria
Description: bacterial SSU rRNA
Rfam family: Bacterial small subunit ribosomal RNA
Source: RNAcentral